CCUACGGGAGGCAGCGGUGGGGAAGUAUUGGACAAUGGGCGAAAGCCUGAUCCAGCAAUGCCGCGUGAGUGAUGAAGGCCUUAGGGUCGUAAAGCUCUUUUACCCGGGAUGAUAAUGACAGUACCGGGAGAAUAAGCCCCGGCUAACUCCGUGCCAGCAGCCGCGGUAAUACGGAGGGGGCUAGCGUUGUUCGGAAUUACUGGGCGUAAAGCGUGCGUAGGCGGUUAUUCAAGUCAGAGGUGAAAGCCCGGGGCUCAACCCCGGAACGGCCUUUGAAACUAGGUAGCUAGAAUCUUGGAGAGGUCAGUGGAAUUCCGAGUGUAGAGGUGAAAUUCGUAGAUAUUCGGAAGAACACCAGUGGCGAAGGCGACUGACUGGACAAGUAUUGACGCUGAGGCACGAAAGCGUGGGGAGCAAACAGGAUUAGAUACCCUGGUAGUCCACGCCGUAAACGAUGAUAACUAGCUGUUCGGGUACUUGGUAUCUGAGUGGCGCAGCUAACGCAUUAAGUAUCCGCCUGGGGAGUACGGUCGCAAGNUUAAAACUCAAAGGAAUUGAACGG
Molecule: ribosomal RNA, 562 nt
Filed under: uncultured bacterium
Lineage: Bacteria
Description: bacterial SSU rRNA
Rfam family: Bacterial small subunit ribosomal RNA
Source: RNAcentral